CAGAUAAGAAAAAUUGCAGAAAAUUAAGGAACAAUUAUAGAUAAGGAAAAAUGCAGAAAUUAAAGCAACUAAGGUGAUCGCGGUCGGUGGCAGAUUUGUUUAGCUUCAUGGUUGGUAAUGACCGAGUCUUCUAUGAUGUGGGCGAUUUGAUCGUGUCAUUUGAGGGGAUUUCUUAGCCCAGAUAUCUCAAAUUCUUCACUGGGACCCAUUGGGAUCUUUGGGACCCAUCAUAAAAUGAAAUUUCAGAAGGAAGAGAGAGAAAAGGUAUCUAUCUUUUUUAUUUUUUCUAGAGAAAAAUGAGGCAUUUGGUGGUUUCCUCUAGAGAUAAGAGGGAAGAACAAUAGAAACGGGUAUACCUCUCAUGCUUCUAAAUUUUUGCUUGUUAUAUUACUAGGCUCUUUGAUGUACCGGGAUUACUGAAGAAGUCCAAUUUAUAUUAUGCUGUGUUGG
This 450-nucleotide long non-coding RNA is filed under the name Carica papaya (papaya). Its description in RNAcentral is "long non-coding RNA (CPAP_LNC007443)". Lineage: Eukaryota; Viridiplantae; Streptophyta; Magnoliopsida; Brassicales; Caricaceae. The record is from RNAcentral.